Molecule: small nucleolar RNA, 80 nt
Filed under: Canis lupus familiaris (dog)
Lineage: Eukaryota; Metazoa; Chordata; Mammalia; Carnivora; Canidae
Source: RNAcentral
CGUGGAUGAUGACACCUUGGUAAUGCGGAAAACUCACGAGUGCGCAGUGGGGGAGCCAACCUUGGAGAGCUGAGCGUGCG